Vicia faba (fava bean) is the source of this 474-nucleotide non-coding RNA. NCBI's taxonomy places the organism in Eukaryota, Viridiplantae, Streptophyta, Magnoliopsida, Fabales, Fabaceae. The record is from the annotation of a GenBank genome assembly.
AACAAAUCCAACGGCUCCAAUCAAUGGAUACAAAAACAAGAUGAUAAGAAAUGUCCCCACACCCAAGUGGACCCCAACAACAUUGACCCAACAAAUGGACGGCAGCUUAGUGGGUUUGACCAACUAUGGUUGUGUUCUGCUGUGGUCUGCUCACCUCAACAUUACACAAUACUUGAGUUAACCUCCCUUCCUUCUACCUUCCACUUCACUUCUUUGCUAUAUAACCCUUUCACUUCAUCUCCUAUGUUUUCUUUCUCAUCCCAAUUUUUCAUUUUUCUUUCUUUUUUCUUUUUUAAUGGAGUCUUCAGAUUUUUAGACCAUCCUUUCACUUUUCAUCUUGUCACUGUAAGUUCUUUCUUUUUCUUUUCUUUUUUUUUAAUUUUUUUUAUUAAUAUUUUGUGGAUAUUUGUUGCUGCUUUAAGUUCUAGGUUUUUUUUUUCCUAUACAAAGCAUGCAUCUUGUAAUUUUUAUUGA